Molecule: ribosomal RNA, 633 nt
Filed under: Triticum aestivum (bread wheat)
Lineage: Eukaryota; Viridiplantae; Streptophyta; Magnoliopsida; Poales; Poaceae
Description: partial small subunit ribosomal RNA
Source: RNAcentral
AUGAAGAUCACGGCGCUCGUCGUGCUGAAGCCGUCGGCCGGAGGCGCCGGGGGCUCCUCCUCCAGCGGCGGGCAGGGCUCCGAGGCGCUCGUGCUGGCCAACGCCACGGACGUCAGCCACUUCGGCUUCUUCCAGCGCGGCGCCGCCCGCGAGUUCAUCGUCUUCGUCGCCCGCACCGUCGCCCAGCGCACCCAGCCCGGCCAGCGCCAGUCGGUCCAGCACGAAGAAUACAAGGUUCACUCACACAACAGAAAUGGCCUCUGCGUGGUGGCAUUUAUGGAUGAUCACUAUCCUGUACGAAGUGCAUUUUCUCUUCUGAAUAAGGUACUUGACGAAUACCAGAAGGCUUUUGGGGAUGCUUGGAAAGCCGCCACAGCAGAUUCCACUCAAGAGUGGCCUUUCCUGAUGGAAGCUUUGACAAAAUUUCAGGAUCCUGCAGAGGCUGACAAGUUAACAAAAAUUCAGAGGGACUUGGAUGAAACAAAAAUUAUCCUACAUAAAACUAUAGAGAAUGUCCUUCAAAGAGGAGAGCGAUUGGAUAGCUUGGUUGAAAAAAGCUCAGACCUGAGUGCUGCUUCACAGAUGUUCUACAAGCAGGCGAAGAAAACAAACAGUUGUUGUACUAUACUCUGA